UACCGGUAAAUAAUUUUUAUAGCGUAAAAGCUAAAUAAAUUCAUACAUACUGUAAUACAGAUAACCAAAGCAUAAGAUUUAAUUUACAAUGACACAUGGGCCCACGAACGACUAAAAGUAAUGAAGGCUAUGAACCUACAGUUUUUGAGGAUGCAAGUCCAAUUGUAGCCCUCAACGAAAUGAGCUAUCUACCAACUAUCCUGAGCCUAAAAGGGGUGGAAAGGAGGGUGGUGAGAUUAUACAAUCCCAAUGAGUAAACAAAUACCAUCUAAAAUAUCUAAAGUUGAGUAAAUGGAGACAGAUAAAAUCGAUUAACAUAAAAAUGAUCCACAACAUUUCGCACUUAUUUUAAUAAGAUAAAAUAGAUUCAUUUCACCCAAAUAAAUAAUGAGGCUUAUGAUUUCUUGAAAAGUAUGGCUUGUGCCAAAAUCAUUCUCAUACUCAGUUAUCAGGGAUACCUUGGCCUGGGGCUAUCCCAACCGAGUCCGCCAAGGCUAUUAAAAAAAAAUCAUGUAUGCAUAAAUCAUGUUUUUGUUUUGCAAACAUAGCCGUUCCUUGGUGAUGGCUGAGUUCACCCUCACGUGGUGGUUUGGCAUGAAGUGAACUCUAAAGUUGUACCUCGGGAGUUACCCUACGUGCCUCCACAAUCGAGGUAAGAAUAUAACAGGAUUCCGUGCCCCUCAAAAAGGCUGAUCCAUAAAACCCGCCCACUGUAACAAGCUAAACCCACAAUACAAUAAAAUUUGCAAUAGCAUGACAUAGAUUUUCAUACAUUUUCAGCCUCUCAAGGCAAAUCAACAAUUCAUACAUUUUCAGCACAUUUACCAAUUCAACCAUUCAUGCCAAUAUUAUCAUAAGCCAUUCAAUUCAAACCAUGAUUUAUAACACAUCAAUUAGUCUCCAAUUACUCCAUUUUCAAAACCAUCAUUCAAUUUCAAGACAAUUUUAUAAAAUCAUUUCAUUUAAUCACAUUUUGCUUAUAAAACAUAAAGAUUUACCAUUUAAACUAAUUUUUCUAUCAAAUCACAAAAACAAAUAAAAACUACUUUAGAUAAUUAAGACGAUAAUAAGGUUACUCACUAUUUCGAGAGUCGAAUUUCGAGUACUCCGAUUCUUGAUCCUCGGGUACUAUCUCUUUACUUUUGCCAGAAAGCUCACCACUUAGACAUAAUGCACAAUAAGCCAUUUACUACGUUUAUGCUAAACCGUUGUAAAACCAAUUCAGGCUUUGUACUAAUGCAUGAAAUGAGAUGUGAAAUACUCGGGCAACUAUCUAAAUACAGUGUUCAAUAUAAAUUCAAUUAUGUACCUUAAUAAAAUGGUAUUGGCCUAAUUCGAUCUAUCACUCGAUUAAUUGGCCAAUAUGUCCAAUUUAACUCCAAUUAACUCCAUUUUUCUUCCAAUUCUCCAAACCCUCAAACACAAGUCAAAUAGCAUAAAAUUUAGCAAAAUCAUCUUCACAUUUUCUCUUGGGAAUUUCGGCCAUGGUGGGUGCAUCAAUACUAUGAUUUUUCCUACUUGAUUUUCUCACCGUAAUUCAUCAUUUCCUAACAAAUUCACUUGAAAUAAAAUCAAAAUCAUCAUCACAUUUCACAUGGAGAAUUCGACCAAUGAGGGUUAUGGAAGAACAUGAAUUUUUCUUAUUGGCUUUUCAUGCUGCACAUCACUAACUAACUAAAAACACUAAAAUACAUUGAAAUCUAACCAAAUCAUGCAUCAAAACCUCCCUCCAAGUGUUCAGCCAGCAAGGGAUUCAUCAUGAUUUCAUGUGAUUCAACCAUGGAAAAUAAGAAAAAAUGCUUAAGAAAGGGAGAUCUCAAGCUUAAUUGAAAAAAUCUUACCUUUUUUCACUUGUUUCCUUGUAUUUUGACACUUUUCCCUUGAAUUUUUCCGCCUACGGUUUUGUUCUUCCUUUUUCUUGCUUCUCCUUGGUGAGGCCGAC
Molecule: long non-coding RNA, 1942 nt
Filed under: Theobroma cacao (cacao)
Lineage: Eukaryota; Viridiplantae; Streptophyta; Magnoliopsida; Malvales; Malvaceae
Description: long non-coding RNA (TCAC_LNC006213)
Source: RNAcentral